ACAACAUGAUGGGGACAUUUUCUGAUGAGAUCCUUUAAUUGUUCCCAUGACUCAUGGAACUGCUCACCGUCUUGCUGCGAGAAGCUAGUGAGAGCUCAUCUUGUCU
Molecule: small nucleolar RNA, 106 nt
Organism: Cephalotus follicularis
Lineage: Eukaryota; Viridiplantae; Streptophyta; Magnoliopsida; Oxalidales; Cephalotaceae
Rfam family: Plant small nucleolar RNA R71
About the family: R71 is a member of the C/D box family of snoRNAs containing the C (UGAUGA) and D (CUGA) box motifs.
Source: Rfam